This 253-nucleotide ribosomal RNA is filed under the name uncultured bacterium. RNAcentral's name for it is "partial 16S ribosomal RNA". It matches the Rfam family "Bacterial small subunit ribosomal RNA", at positions 524 to 776 of the family's 1533-position model. The record is from RNAcentral.
UACGUAGGGUGCAAGCGUUGUCCGGAAUUAUUGGGCGUAAAGAGCUCGUAGGCGGUCUGUCGCGUUGUUCGUGAAAACCGGGGGCUUAACCCUCGGCGUGCGGGCGAUACGGGCAGACUUGAGUACUGCAGGGGAGACUGGAAUUCCUGGUGUAGCGGUGGAAUGCGCAGAUAUCAGGAGGAACACCGGUGGCGAAGGCGGGUCUCUGGGCAGUAACUGACGCUGAGGAGCGAAAGCGUGGGGAGCGAACAGG